ACAAGCGGUGGAGCAUGUGGUUAAUUCGAUGCAACGCGAAGAACCUUACCUGGGCUUGACAUCCCGGGAAGUCCCCUGGAAACAGGGGAGUGCCCUUCGGGGAACCCGGUGACAGGUGCUGCAUGGCUGUCGUCAGCUCGUGUCGUGAGAUGUUGGGUUAAGUCCCGCAACGAGCGCAACCCUUGUCUUUAAUUGCCAUCAUUUAGUUGGGCACUUUAAAGAGACUGCCGGUGUUAAGCCGGAGGAAGGUGGGGAUGACGUCAAGUCCUCAUGGCCUUUAUGCCCAGGGCUACACACGUGCUACAAUGGCCGGUACAAAGAGUUGCGAUACCGCGAGGUGGAGCUAAUCUCAUAAAGCCGGUCUCAGUUCGGAUUGGAGUCUGCAACUCGACUCCAUGAAGUUGGAAUCGCUAGUAAUCGCAGGUCAGCAUACUGCGGUGAAUACGUUCCCGGGCCUU
This 458-nucleotide ribosomal RNA is filed under the name uncultured Syntrophaceae bacterium. RNAcentral's name for it is "bacterial SSU rRNA". It matches the Rfam family "Bacterial small subunit ribosomal RNA", at positions 925 to 1382 of the family's 1533-position model. The record is from RNAcentral. Lineage: Bacteria; Pseudomonadati; Thermodesulfobacteriota; Syntrophia; Syntrophales; Syntrophaceae.